RNAcentral lists this ribosomal RNA (433 nucleotides) under uncultured bacterium. RNAcentral describes it as "partial 16S ribosomal RNA". It matches the Rfam family "Bacterial small subunit ribosomal RNA", at positions 29 to 507 of the family's 1533-position model. The record is from RNAcentral.
AACGAACGCUGGCGGCAUGCCUAACACAUGCAAGUCGAACGAGACCUUCGGGUCUAGUGGCGCACGGGUGCGUAACGCGUGGGAACCUGCCCUUAGGUUCGGAAUAACUCCCCGAAAGGGGUGCUAAUACCGGAUAAUGUCUUCGGACCAAAGAUUUAUCGCCUUUGGAUGGGCCCGCGUUGGAUUAGCUAGUUGGUAGGGUAAAAGCCUACCAAGGCGACGAUCCAUAGCUGGUCUGAGAGGAUGAUCAGCCACACUGGGACUGAGACACGGCCCAGACUCCUACGGGAGGCAGCAGAGGGGAAUAUUGGAAGAUGGGCGAAAGCCUGAUCCAGCAAUGCCGCGUGAGUGAUGAAGGCCUUAGGGUUGUAAAGCUCUUUUACACGGGAUGAUAAUGACAGUACCGGGAGAAUAAGCACCGGCUAACUCCGUG